GACGGAGGAUGCAAGCGUUAUCCGGAAUGAUUGGGCGUAAAGCGUCCGCAGGUGGCAGUUCAAGUCUGCUGUCAAAGACCGGGGCUUAACUUCGGAAAGGCAGUGGAAACUGAACAGCUAGAGUAUGGUAGGGGCAGAGGGAAUUCCUGGUGUAGCGGUGAAAUGCGUAGAGAUCAGGAAGAACAUCGGUGGCGAAGGCGCUCUGCUGGACCAUAACCGACACUCAGGGACGAAAGCUAGGGGAGCGAAUGGG
RNAcentral lists this ribosomal RNA (253 nucleotides) under uncultured bacterium. RNAcentral describes it as "partial 16S ribosomal RNA". It matches the Rfam family "Bacterial small subunit ribosomal RNA", at positions 524 to 776 of the family's 1533-position model. The record is from RNAcentral.